GUAGGUGGCAAGCGUUGUCCGGAAUUAUUGGGCGUAAAGCGCGCGCAGGCGGUCCUUUAAGUCUGAUGUGAAAGCCCACGGCUCAACCGUGGAGGGUCAUUGGAAACUGGGGGACUUGAGUACAGACGAGGAAAGCGGAAUUCCAAGUGUAGCGGUGAAAUGCGUAGAGAUUUGGAGGAACACCAGUGGCGAAGGCGGCUUUCUGGUCUGUAACUGACGCUGAGGCGCGAAAGCGUGGGGAGCAAACAGGAUUAGAUACCCUGGUAGUCCACGCCGUAAACGAUGAGUGCUAAGUGUUAGGGGGUUUCCCGCCCCCCUUAGUGCUGCAGCUAACGCAUUAAGCACUCCGCCUGGGGAGUACGGCCGCAAGGCUG
RNAcentral lists this ribosomal RNA (374 nucleotides) under uncultured organism. Its description in RNAcentral is "partial 16S ribosomal RNA". It matches the Rfam family "Bacterial small subunit ribosomal RNA", at positions 527 to 896 of the family's 1533-position model. The record is from RNAcentral.